AGCGAACGCUGGCGGCAUGCCUAACACAUGCAAGUCGCACGGGGGGGCUUCGGCCUCCCAGUGGCGGACGGGUGAGGAACGCGUAGGGACCUGUCGAGGGGUGGGGGAUAACCGCGGGAAACUGCGGCUAAUACCGCAUGACGCCGCGGCGUGACAGCCGGGGCCAAAGGCGAAAGCCGCCCGCCGAGGGGCCUGCGUCCGAUUAGCUGGUUGGCGGGGUAGCGACCCACCAAGGCGUCGAUCGGUAGCUGGUCUGAGAGGGUGAUCAGCCACACCGGGACUGAGACACGGCCCGGACUCCUACGGGAGGCAGCAGUGGGGAAUAUUGGACAAUGGGCGCAAGCCUGAUCCAGCAAUGCCGCGUGGGUGAAGAAGGUCUUCGGAUUGUAAAGCCCUUUCGGCGGGGACGAUGGUGACGGUACCCGCAGAAGAAGCCCCGGCUAACUUCGUG
RNAcentral lists this ribosomal RNA (451 nucleotides) under uncultured bacterium. RNAcentral describes it as "partial 16S ribosomal RNA". It matches the Rfam family "Bacterial small subunit ribosomal RNA", at positions 28 to 507 of the family's 1533-position model. The record is from RNAcentral.